Prionailurus viverrinus (fishing cat) is the source of this 1040-nucleotide long non-coding RNA. RefSeq lists it as uncharacterized. The record is from RefSeq and is a predicted model, not a curated record. The transcript is spliced from 6 exons. Lineage: Eukaryota; Metazoa; Chordata; Mammalia; Carnivora; Felidae.
AGACUUUUUCAGUGAGUGCACUUUGGGGAAGAAAUGGAACUUCGUUUGAGAAUAUAAAUAUCUUACAAAAUUGCCUGUAAGAUUAUCACAGCUGCCUUGACAAGGCUUGGAAUAAAUACCCGGAGAGUAGGGCUAAAGAGGAGAAUGAAGCAGGAUUCUUCAGUUCAGGAUAUCAAAAGGAAAGUGUGACUCAGAAGAGGAGUGAAAAUGUCCUGAAGAGGGAUAAAAAGACUCUGUAUCCUCUUUUUGGGAGUGUGUGUUCAAGUGUUCAAGGAACAGUUGUAUGAAGGGAUGUGGAAGCAUGAUUUUGCUAUCUUCUUUGUUUGGAAGUUAGGUAUGGUUAGAAGAGAAUCUCCUGAAGAGAAAGUUUUACAAAAGUCUUCCUUCCAGUAAGCCUCAGGGAAACUUAAUCAGAAAUGCAGUAAUUCGUAUGCAAAACAAUUUGCUCUGGGGCAGCUCACCUUCCUUCUCCAGCUGUUGCUCAUCUUGAAGGGCCUGUGUACCAGGUACCAUCUGCUAACUCCCACAGCCUUUUUGUCAUCUGUGCCCUAAUAAGACUUUCACUGCCUCAAAAUCAACCAGAAGUAGGUGUCACUUCUUUGUGCUGAAGCCAGGAAAACAUCUGGACCCCAAGUAGUUCCCAAUGAUCAAAGCAUCUCACGAUAUUUUGAUCCAUACAAGACCCAGUGAUCUCACUUCCUAUCCAGUUGAAUAGACCCUGAUAAGCAUGAGGCCACAGACUUGCCAAAAAAGUAGCUGAUGGAAGUCCCAGAAGGUGUCACUCAGAGAAGAAGAGACUGGGUGCUCCAGACAUCUCUGAGCAGCCAAUGUAGUGAUCUGGGGUCUGUCUGAAUGGUGGCUGGAGCAUCGUGGCGCCUGCUGGAUGCAGAGAAUUAAUUCCACCUGCCACCGCAUCCUUGAAUAAAGAGGUCAUUCGUUGACAGCACUUCUCGCAUCCACUCAUGGAAGCACAGAGUGUUCAUGAUGUCUGGUGAGUACCCAUCCAGAGGGGAGACGCUGGAGGGCUGGAUGGCAAUGCU